AUGGCGGUCCACGCAGCGCUCUCCUUGGGAUUAGAUUUCUCCCCGGGGAUGAAGUUGGCGUCUGAGAUCCAACGCACCUUCAACGGAUCGGUGCACCCUACGGAGGACACGGGCCAUUUCAUUAUGGUCGUCUCUUUUGCACGGCACACCUUCCGGCUUGAUGAGGAAAAUGUGGGGUUCGCUCUUGAGGCGGCCAUCGGAGGAUACUGCUCACAUCUCAAGGUAUCUUUCCUCCACCAUGGCGUCUUCUCUUUCAACGUUUCUUGCAAGGAGGUGGGUUUUUUCAUUCUGCACCAGAGGAGUUUUGUCUGUGAUCAGUUCAAGUGCUUUUUCCACCUCUAG
This 342-nucleotide ribosomal RNA is filed under the name Triticum aestivum (bread wheat). RNAcentral's name for it is "partial small subunit ribosomal RNA". Lineage: Eukaryota; Viridiplantae; Streptophyta; Magnoliopsida; Poales; Poaceae. The record is from RNAcentral.